GGCGUUAGCUCGAGUUGGAUAGAGCAGCGGGCGCUGCCCAAAGUCGCCGGUUCGAUUCCGGCACGCCACCA
Molecule: transfer RNA, 71 nt
Filed under: Stenotrophomonas acidaminiphila
Lineage: Bacteria; Pseudomonadati; Pseudomonadota; Gammaproteobacteria; Lysobacterales; Lysobacteraceae
Description: tRNA-Ser
Source: RNAcentral